UGUGUACUCCCUUCGUUCCAAAAUACUUGACUUCCAUUUGUCCAAAAAUGGAUGUACCUAUAUACUAAGACAUGUCUAGAUACAUAUAUAUUUUGACAAAUAGAAGGCAUGUAUAGUGCAACGGAGGGAGUAGAAU
Molecule: non-coding RNA, 136 nt
Organism: Triticum aestivum (bread wheat)
Lineage: Eukaryota; Viridiplantae; Streptophyta; Magnoliopsida; Poales; Poaceae
Source: Rfam